UUCCAGAAAGUCAAAAUUUUUUCACCUAUUAGUUUUAUUUUACAAGAAUAACCAAUUUUUACGAGUAAUGAACACGUAUUGGAUUUGUUCCGAAUUUAUUCGCUAGGAUCUUUGUCAUCACUUUCACUUUAUACGUUAUAGCUUAUUAGUGGUUUGUGUGUGUUUAUUGCAUUAAAGUGCAAUCGCCAUGGAUGACACCAUGUCGACUCUAACGAAAAUGACCCGCACAGUUAAAAAACUAGAAGUUCCCAGGCCCCUGAAAUCAACUACAAGCUCUGCACUCAACCGAAAUUCGGUUUUAGAUGUAAAAAUAAAUUCUGUUGAUGAUCUAAUAGUAUUAACUGAGGCAGUUGCAUAUCAAAUGAUGCAGGGGAAUUUUGACAGAGUACUUCAAAGCAAUGUUUCAACUAUGUAUUCCAAUUUGAAAUUAUAUGGAGCUCAGCUUGAGUCCUUGUAUAAAGACUUUCUAGACCGCUACUUUGUUGUUUUCCGCAAUGGUUCUCAAGAUGAGCGACUUGACAAGAAAACUCGUCUUCAUUUGUUGGAAUUAAUAGAAUUGCGUGCCAAGCAAUGGCAAGGGUCAGAUUACAUGAGUCAAUAUUACAGACACCGUGGCACACAUGCAGAGCCACUAUUAGUGCCUACAAUGGAGGGUGCCGGUUCUGGUGGCUCGGUGUCUCCAACACUGGCUGCGCCUGCCGAGCCACAGACUUUGCUGGGUCCAGGUGAAGUUAUUAAGCCCUCAGGAAAGUUUCCCAAACCAACUAAGAUACCCGGAAAGAACUAUUCUAAAGAUGAAGUAGUCAUAAGAAAUGCUGAUUCUGGAAAAGUGAUGGGUAUCAAGGGCAGAAGGGUGCACAUGAUCGAAGAACUAAGUGAUACGAUUAUUUCGUUUCAGAGAGUGAGUCCGGGGGCAAAAGAACGUUUGGUGCAAAUUACGGGCCCAAAUGAAGAAAAUGUCAACCACGCCAAGCACUUGAUUGGAGACACCAUUCGCCGCAACGCGUCCCCGGUUCGGCUCGACGAUGCAAUGGAAGGAGGGCUUGGAACUUCCAGCGCCUCCCUGGACUCCAAUGGCUCUGAUGAGGCUAUUAGGCCUAGAGAGAAAUCACCACACAACAAUGCGAGAGCCUUACUUCAUAGUUUCUCCACUAACGACGCCGCGCUGGGAGAGUACAAGUAUACUGUUAUGUUUGGUCAACAUUCCAUUAAGAUCACUGGCAAUAAUUUGGAUCUUGUAAAGACGGCAAAAUUAGUGCUGGAUGAGUACUUCGAGAGCGCAGGCGCUCUAGAGGCUAUGGGUGCUGGCUCCGGCGACUUCUUCACUCUGUCGCAGCGACCGGCAGCCGCCUUGCUGCUGAGAGACGACGCAGCGCUCAACGGUGCUGACGACGACGAGGUGUUUACUAUGGCGGAGCAGCAGAACGCGGACGGGCGCGGGCUCGAUGACUCGCUGCCGCGCCGGCCUCGCUUCUCGCGCGCAACCUCCACCGACAAGCACCAGGGAGGCGCGCGGCAGUCGUACUCGUACGAGUCGCUGGUGCGGCUGGCCGACUCGCCGCUCAGCAAGCUGCCGCCGGCCGGGCUGGGCUCGUUCCCGCCGGAGCUGGCUCGCAAGCCGGAGCCGGACGUCGGGCCCAGCUAGCGGCGCGGCCGGCCCCUCCCAUCUCCUCGCGUCACACUCUCCGCUGGACCCGAGAACUGCGCACUCCAGUGCUUUACCCGCGCUUUCAAUAGAGACUCGCUCGAGGAGUGUUAUUAUUUGGCCAUUUCAUGUAGUAAAUGUUCCAAUAAUCACUCGGUAGUUUUGGGAUGCAGUUUUCUGGCUCCUAAAGAGGCAGCCUAGACUAACUUAUCCGCGAGCGAAGUGUGGCUCGAGCGAAUCUUUAUUCUUCUAAAACUGCUUAUAAUGUUGCACCAUCAUAAUAUCAAUAUUGCACGUUUAUUUAACGCAUGGGGUGUGCGAAUGUUCUUCCUAAUUUCUGAUCCUCUGAUUGAUGAUAAAUUCUAGUCGAACAGUACAAGUUAGAUUAGCCAAUAAUAAAAAUAUAUUAUACAAGAACUGAUUAUUUAGACGAGUAAGUUGGACUGCAGUAAGACUGGUAAAAUAUAAUUGAAUUAUAAAAUCCUCGUUGACUGAUGUUAAAAAUUUAAUGUAGAAUUGCUUUAUAUGACUGAUGUUGAUGUAUAAAACCUAAUUAUAAAUAAAUGACUGAAUGUAAAUUCUCGUGAAAUGUGAUUGAUUUUUUAUGCUAGUAUUAUUAGAUAUUGUAUUCUCUGUUGAUUGUUGAUAAAUUUUUACGCUUAGUAUUUAGAAAACGUUUACGAGUUUAGUAGACAGUAAUUAAGAUGGUGACUUUUACGCUGCUCAGAACGGGUGCGUGCGAGGCUGAGGAGGCCAAUGCAGACUUGCUUGGAGUUCGACAGCAGCAGCUAUCUGAAGAAAGUCCGAGCAGCAGCCGCCACCACCAUCGCGGUGGACGCACCUGACUCGCCCGAACCAGAAUAAAACACGACUACCACACACGCUUAUUACUUGUUAAAAUAUGGUGUAGGUCAAGCUUCCACGAAGCCCACGCGGGGUGAUUUAUAAAUGCAAAAAGUAUUCAAAUGACAAAACAUACAUUUUUUUUUCUAAUUACCCUCAUUUUCGUUGGACUCUUCUACUGAAUUUUGUCCAGAUGUUGAAAGUAAUAAGUGUGUGUGGUCUAUAAUCUAUCUUUAUGCACCUGCCCGCUUGUAUAAAAUCAAAUCGUACCUACUUGUACAAAGUACACAAUUUCACGUUACAAAUGGAACACAUUUGUCAACAGUGGAAUCGUUUGCGCCAACUUAUAAUUUCUUCUUUGCAAUCAGAUAAUACCUGUACUAUACUGUAUACACGAGAACGUUAGCAACUUAAAUUUUUGGUCAUUGACACAUUCAUUGUCAAUCACGUUAGAUGCGUUUUAACACUGUUUAUUAGCAUACAGGGCAAAAAGUUGAAAACGAAUACCUACAUAGUGAUUGAUAACAAUGUAUGACACUUUUCUUAGUCGUGUGUCAACUGUCACUGUCCGAACCGGGUUUUAUAUUAUCAUACGUAAACUGAACUGAAUGAAUGUUCUCAUUGCUGUUUAUUGACCAAUACCUACAAUUUUAAACAACUGGAUUAAAUGCGGCAAUAUAUAGAUUUUAGUCGAAGCUUAUUUUGGUGUAUUUUGUGGUAUGUUCCAUAUUUCGGCUUUUUUUUUAUACGACGUGAUUUAUCUAUAAUAUGUAUAGAAAGUCAUUGAGUAUGCAUUAUAAAGUAGCGUAGGGCAGGUGCUUCAAUCAUCACUUGUAAAGACCCGUCCGUCAUUAGACUAUUAAUAAUUGCUUUUAAUUAUUGUUUACUAAUUUAUCGCCUUAUUACCUUUCACUAAAAGUAUUAGCUCACCAAAUUAUUUUAUGUUGAUAUUACUUAUAAUCUAUGUAGUUUUAGUACGAAUCAACUAACGCAGUAAAUGCAGUAAACUGACUUUAUACAAUGUUUACAUAACCAUUGUCUACAAUACUUUGAAUUAAAAAAUAAGGUUUAGUACAUUAUGCUACCUUAAUGAAAAAAAAUAUAAAUGAUAAAGUGCCUUUCUGAUUUAAAAACAGAUUAUGAAGACGUUUGUCUAUUUGACAUAGACACAAAAGUUGGUAUAGAGUGAUUCCAUUUAUUUUAAGGAGGAUGCAUGCAUUUCUUAGUGUGUUUGUAAACUCAUACUGUAGUCUAGUCUUGUCGAGUAGAUUUCGAUAUCUCAUUUUAUUAAAGUAAGUCUCUAUAUUAUAUACUUGACUGUCUGGUCGGCGAAAAAGUAGACUAUUUGUUUAUUUAUUGUCAUUAUGGACGAAUAAAUUAUUUAUUUCUAUAUUUCGUGUACACAAAUCGCUCUCCAGAUUUUCUCGUAUUGUUUGUGUAUUGAAAAUAUGACGGUUAUAAUAUUGUAAAGACUGUUAAUUUUCCUGUAUAUAUUUAAAAGUCAAGAGCCUUAAUAUUUUUAAUAACAUUUGUAGCAUAUUACAUCUCAUAUUCAUACACUGGUUACUAAAGUUUUUUAAAUAUUUUUAGGGCGCAAAGCCCACUGUUAUGAAAUAAAUAUUUUAAUAAAAAAGGACACGAAGCACAUAUUUUAUGAUAAAAUACACUAUUAGUAUAUGUUUUAUUGUAUUGAAAAUAUAUAUUUACUUUGUGCUCACGGAAAAAGUAUUAUUUCGUUAUUUUUUGUUUUGUUUUAUAUUAAUAAACCACAACUGCUAUGUUGUUGAAAUUUAUGGUAAACUAAAUUUUUCAAUUAUCUAAA
Molecule: RNA transcript, 4310 nt
Organism: Leptidea sinapis
Lineage: Eukaryota; Metazoa; Arthropoda; Insecta; Lepidoptera; Pieridae
Gene: mxt
Gene name: eukaryotic translation initiation factor 4E-binding protein Mextli
Exons: 14
Source: RefSeq, a predicted model, not a curated record